AUCCCAUGUUGACGACAUUUACGAAGUAAUUCCUUCAAUCUUUCCAAUGCCCCAUACAAAGAUUCAUCAUCCAUUUCUUGGAAAGUUGUUAUCUCAUUACGUAACUUU
Molecule: small nucleolar RNA, 108 nt
Organism: Gossypium raimondii (Peruvian cotton)
Lineage: Eukaryota; Viridiplantae; Streptophyta; Magnoliopsida; Malvales; Malvaceae
Rfam family: Plant small nucleolar RNA R71
About the family: R71 is a member of the C/D box family of snoRNAs containing the C (UGAUGA) and D (CUGA) box motifs.
Source: Rfam